UUUUUUUUUUUUUUUUUUUUUCUUUUUUUUUUUUUUUUCAUGGGGUAGUCAUGUUUUACUUAAAUACGUAGACAAUUGUGCGCCUCAUUUUCAUCCCACAAAAGACAAAGCAA
RNAcentral lists this non-coding RNA (113 nucleotides) under Rhodosorus marinus. The record is from RNAcentral. Lineage: Eukaryota; Rhodophyta; Stylonematophyceae; Stylonematales; Stylonemataceae.